UAUUUGUUUUACUGAAGGUAAAGUUCAAAUUAAAGUAGAUAUUUGGGUGUAAUUAGAGCUUAGGAAAAAACUAAUUUUCUUAUACAGAAUGGGUGUGUUUAGUUCGCCUAUUUUUUAUCCUAGAAUUGAAAUCGGAAUAGACGAAUUCGUUUGUCCGUGUUUGGUAUGCGAAAUUCCCAUUCCGAUUCCGAUUCCCAGGUGAAUAAGUAUUCCUCCAAUUACCCCUUUUUCCAAUCCGGCCUUGGAGACCAGAUUGGAAAUUGAAUCCGGACGGAAUGGAUUUGUUUGAAUUAAAUUUAAUUUUUUUAAUCUUAUUUUUUAAUUAAAAUAUAAGUUUAAGUUUAAAAAUUAUAUUUAUAAAUUUUAAAUUUAAUUUGAACUUAAACUAAACAUUAAAAUUCAAUCAAGCAUUUCGAAUCUAAUUUAUAAAUUUUACUUUUAAUUUAAAAUCUAAAUUGAAAUUAUAAUUUUUAAGUUUGAAUUUGAAUAAAUCAAAUUUUAGUUUAUAUUUUGAAUUAUCCGCUCAAUUUCAAAUUUUAAUUUUUCAAAAAAUUAUAUUUAAAAUUUUGACAUCAUUUUAAAAUUUUGGCCUAUAUUUUUAAUGUUUAAUUUUCAGUUAAGUUUAAACUAAUAUAUUAUAAAGAUAAAAUUGAUAUAUUAAUUUGAUUACGUUUUUAAUAUCUGUUCGAAUCAAACACCGACAAGAAAAAUGAUUCAUUCCAAUUCAGAUGGUGAACCAAACAGAAUAAGAUAAUGAAUCAUUCCGAUUCCAUUUCUAGCUUGUUAUCAUUCCAAUUUCAAUACCGAUUCCGACUUCGAACCAAACACACUCAUAUUUCUAUAACUGGAAAAUUGAGGUUUCUCUAAUUCUGCUGUUUAUUUAGUAAAACGUGAAUGGCGUAAAAGUUCGAAGGGCGAGAAAUUGAUCAAUAUUUUACUAUCUUUUUUCUCACUUCAUUUCUCUGGCUUUUGGGGAAUUUUGAGUUUCAACCAAAAGUAAAGUUACGAUGAGCCAAACAACGAAAGCGGACACUUACGGUCCGAAAAUCACUUCGCCCCUCUCCACUUUCGGUGCGAUGUAAUAAGUGCCAAACUCCAAAAGGGACAAGAUCACAAGUAGUUGCAUGACCCAGGGGGGAACCAAGGCUUAAAGAACAGGGAGCAUGAGGUGGCUUUUCUAUUACAUAACUGAAAACUUGUUGUAACCCACAUAAUAAUAAUAAAAAAAAAAAGAAAAAAAAAGAAAAAAAAAGAGGACCAUGCAUGUGCCAUUAGAGAGACCAUGGGGACAGCUACUUCUUUGCUGUGGGUGGAGCCCCAGAUGUGUAGAUCCAACUAGGAAACAGAAAAGAAAGGGUAAAUUGCAACCAAUACUAGUCCUUAAGCUUUUAAGUGCUCCAGUAACUGUUCCAUUUUAGUUCUUUUCUUGCGGAGAAUUUAUUGCUUGCACCUAGUGCAUCUGUAUAUUCGUAGAGCAUAAUCCGUCGGCCCUUCAGCAAUCUCAUACUUUCAAUCUAAUCAUUCAAUUUCUGUAGGGGGAUAUGACUCAUCCCAACUGAAAUGAAGCGUCAAAUGUCGAACUUUACUUAAAAUUUAAUGACUGAAGUGAAAUUUUGGCAAUGCAAUUUACUGGAAAGAAAGUAUGGAACAAACGGGGGACAAAAAACAAAAGAAAUACAGCUUCAUUCGCAUUCUUUGCUGAAGUACAUGAUCCUACGCCAAAUACUUAACAGGAACUGGAGAUUGUUGUGCACAUGCUAUCCAUUUGCUUGUGGAUUUUUUUUUUUUUUUUUUUUUUUUUGAGAUCUUUCUAUCAAUCUAAUGUUGGAGACAUGAGGGGUAAUUGCUUCUUAAUCAGAAAAAACUCCUCCAAAAAGUUUUCUUCAUGUAUGUUAAAUAAUACGAAAUAAUUGCGAUUCUCUAAAAAUUUAGGCCGGCAGAGAACGGCGUUUAAAUAUUUUUAUAUUUAACACUCCUCUCAUGUCUGGACUCGAGGCUUUUCGCAAGGUCCAUGAUGCGGACGUAAAUUAAAUGGAAGAAAAUUAAUAAUACUAAGAGUUUGAUGUGGCUCGAACUUAGAACAUUCUACUUUGAUACUGUGUUAAAUAAUACAAAACAAUCGUUAUUUUCUAAAAACUUAAGCGGCUAGAGAAUGGUACUUAAAUAAUUUUAUAUUUAGCAAUGUAGAAAGGCAAUAGAUGCAAUCUCCUGCAUAAUGAUUUUGCUUUUUUAGUUCUUAAAAAUUACAUAUUCAUUAAAUGGCAAGUGAUAUCUUCAUUUUAUCUUUCAACCUUUUUGGUUCAUGGUGGAGAACAAAUCUAUUCAUUCAAGAAAGCCAAAUAUGAAAUGGUCCGGUCCUUAAAUCAUGAAGUAAGUGUAAAUAUUUUUUUCAAAAAAAAAAAAGUUGAGUGUAAAUAUUUUAUGAUGAGGUCUAUUUCAAGCGCAUUUAAUUCAUUACCCAAAAAAAAAAAAGAAAAAAAAGAAAAAAAAAAGUAGAAACUGUUGAAUACAUAAUAUUAAAACAACAUUCUCUUGAGAAUAACAGUUAUUUCACAUUCUUAAACGUGGAUUACAUUAUUGCAUCUGAAUCACGAAAUCCAUCAGUUUCAUUAUUGGACCUACUUGUUUCAUCCGAAACAGCAACUCAAAUGCUUCUCACCAAUGAAAAGGAUUAGAGCAACGGUUAAGACACAAAGUAAUAAAACCAAAUUAUUUGAAGGACAAACACAUAUAGCUGUAUUAGUAAUCAGGUUUCAGAAAAAUACAAAGCUAAUAUUAUCUCUCACAACAUCUCAAAUCUAAUGCAGAUCUAGGAAUAAUUAUAUUUUGGCACAUACAGAUAUGCAACCACAAGGUGAGGCCUACUUUGUUUAGGCAAGUGGAGAGAACGGCAUACAGCGGUGGCAUUAAAAGUGUUUUGCUUUUAAUCAAACUCCGACUAUUUGCUGUAACAGAAGCUGAAGUUUCGAAUUAGAGCUUCUGUUCGGAGGCUUAGUAGUUCAACUUCCUUUCGAAGCAAAAGCUCUAAUUCUAAAGAACCUGUAUCAGGAAACAAUUUCAGAGAAAGUAAAGGAUAAAGACACAGCAACUACUUUAACGAUUGAACAAGUUUCUAAUUUCGACUUUGUAAUGAACUUUAUAAAUCAAGCAUUCAAAUAAUUGUUACACAAUUAAUAUCAGUAUAACUGGAUGUGGAAACUGGCACUACAAUCCGUUCGUGGUAAGUACUGGAUUCACAACAUUCUCUGUUUUCUUUCAUUUUUCCCAUCUUCUACAAGUACAUAAGGCGUGAGCCCGGAUAAUAUGCCACACUAAAUAAAUAAAAUAAGGAAGACUACAUCCUACUACCAAGAACAGCAAUUGUGACAGAAGAAUGUUUCUGCAACAGGAAAUACCACACAAAAGGAGAAAUAGAUGAUACGAAUCGUAUUUGGUCUUCCAUAGAAAUAGCUUCUUAUUCUUGUGGGAGCUUCCAUCAACCCUCAAUGGUUGCAAAAACGAAGAAAAAUGAACAUAUAUAUAUAUGAAUUCACGUCGGAUAUAUGGACUUGUGCAAUAGAUAUUCUAUCAAUAAAAAUAUGAUCUUCUUGUCGAAAGUAGUUUGGGGGAGCAAAGCUAAAUAAAACUUUCAGUGUCUUCGGGUUUCUGAUGCUAACUUAUUUGCUCACCAAUAAGAUCGAGCCCAACAAGAAGGAAUGUCACACCUUGAAAGAGGAGGAAGUAGAAAUGAAUCCCUUGGGCAGAUAGAAGGCUUCGAACAGCUGCCGUGAGUAGCAGAAGAGCGAGGGCAAGCUCUUUCUUGUAGAUCUUAUUUGCUUUUUUGACAGGAGGGGCUUCUGCUUUUGUUUCUGCUGCUUCCUGUUGUUGUCCCUUCAACUUAGUCAGCUCUACAAGUUCUCCUUCCGAAAGCCCUCUGAGAAGCUGAUUGUGGGUUAAGGGCUUCGAAUCCCUUUCUGCAGCUGCGAGUAAAUCAGAUUCCGACGACCUCCCCGCUUUCUUAGUAACAACCCAUUCAUAGGAACUACCCAAUUGAAACAGUCCAGAGACCAUUGCAUUGAACUUAGUUACCGACAUGGUGUUUUCGAAUAGCAAAUACGGCACAACAAAAGGGAAAGAUUUAGGGGCUGGUAGGAUGUUAAGAAAGGACAUAGCGACGGGUAUGUAACAGAUCACCCAAAUGGGCAAUUCAGCCUCCGGCACGAACAUGGUUAGGGGGAGAAUAACGCAGAAUAAGGUGAAGGAAUAGAAUGGAAGUACGAGCUUCCUCAAGAGGAAAAAGAGAAGCACCAAGUUCGCCUUCUUCCAUGCAGAUAUCUGCAAAUACAAGAAAAAUAGCUCCUUAAGAAAAGUUUAAGCUGUUAGAGAAUGACAUUUUCUACACGAAACUUUUAUAGACCUAAGAUGUGGACUUGGAGUUAAUUAAUUGUGUGUAGGUUGUUUCCUACUUUUGAAUCAUAUAGUGGAUGGGCCAAUUGGGAAACAACCAAAUGAAUUUAAAAGUUAAAGCUGUUGGAGAAUGGCGUUGAAUAUUUUAUAUUAAUCAAGAAAAGGCACUUUUGAGAGGUGAUAAACCUUAGAAGUAAUGAUGGCAGGAAGGCACAAACGAAAUAGAUGCAUCGGCCCAGAAUGCCAUCGGUGCUGCUGUUUCCGGUAAGCUUCAAAUGACUCAGGAACUUCACACAGAACCUACACAUGGGGACUCGAAUAAAAAAAAUCACAAACGGACUACAAAUGUUAAAUGCUUAUUUUUACAGCUGGAAGUAAUUUAGAUGAAUCAAGAAUCGCACCCUAACGUCAUUUAGGAAGAUGAACUUCCAGCCAUUAAGAUGGGCACGGACGGCGAUAUCCAUGUCCUCCACAGUUGUCCUCUCAAGCCAACCCCCAGAGUCCUCCAAUGCUUUGAUUCUCCACACACCAGCAGUUCCGUUGAACCCGAAGAAGUUUAAGAAUACACCAUUCACCUGCUGCUCCACUUCAAAGUGGAAGCAUAAGUUGAUAUUUUGGAGUCGGGUCAACAAAUUCUCACCCUUGUUCACGAAGCUCCAGCGUGCUUGAACUAACCCAAGUUCAGGAUUUCCCUUCAUUAAGAAAAACGAGUAGAUUCGUAGUAAGUACAAUGAGGAGUACACAUACUGCUAAUAAAAACGAAGUAAGUAAUGUAUUUGAGGGACAAAUAUAAUACCUUAAAAUGGGGAAUUGUUCUCUUUAGGAAAUCAGGGUUCGGCUGGAAAUCAGCAUCAAAAAUGGCGACAAACUCGUAAUCCUUGACAUAGUCGCAGCUCAUGGCGGACUUAAGAUUUCCGGCUUUGUAACCCGUUCGGAUAAUCCGGUGGCGGUAGACAAUGUUAACACCCCGUUGGCUCCACUUGAAUACCUCUGCUUUUAUUAAAAGUUUAAUGCUUUCGUCAUCUGAGUCAUCAAGAACUUGGAUUAGGAGACGGUCUUUCGGCCAAUCAAUCUGGCAAACUGCAGAUAUAGAUUGCUCAUAGACCUGAAAUGAAGUCAAAAUUCGUAAGAAAGGGAAUAAUAUAUAAUAUCAAAACUCAUUUAUGUUAAAUAUACAAAGUACAACUAUGUAGUUGAGUACAAAAACAUUAAUAAAAGCAAAAAAUAGAACAUAACAAGGAUGAAGGGGAAAAAAAGAAAUAGAGUAGCUUAAUUACCUCUCUCUCAUUACACAUAGGAAUCUGAACUAGAACCAUAGGGUAGUCGUAUCCACCCUCGAUAUCAUCCGAUUUAAACGGAUCACCCUCUAUCAUCGGCUUGAUCUUCUUGAGCUUGAUCCAAAAGCAACCGACACACAAGAUCAGCCUAUCGAGCGACUGAAUUAUGAAAAGAACAAUGCAGAAGUUUGACAAGACUUGGAUCGGGUACGCAAUGUAGUCGGCCCGGAAGACGAGCCAUGAGAGAUAAGCAUCAUGCAUCCACCCACGAAUCUCUUCGCUCUCGGGUACGUGGAGAUUCUCCGGUAAGUGCAAAUGCGGCUUCUGGAAGUGCCAUCCUUUCCAAUAAGCAAUCAAUUCGAACGCGAGCGCAAGCAGAGAGAGCAGCAAGAAUGCUCUAAGGAACUUGAAAAGCAGCUUCCCUUUCUCGGGCUUGUCGGCCUCGAGAAGAGCUUCCGGUUUGCGGGCAAAUCUCUUCCUGAUGGCUGCGAGCAGGGCGCAGGAGCCAUUCGCGAGCCAAGAAAUGCACCCGACCGCACGGUGAGCCCUGAGGAGCAGCACCCAUGUGAACUGCUUCGCGUUCUUCCCCCGCCCUUUCGCGGUGGACUGGAACGAGCCGACGUCGGGACCGUCGAUCUCGACCAGCGAGUAGUUGGGGUUCUCCAUCUUCACCACCACAGGAGUGCCCUUUCUAGUGUCCUUCCCCCACCAAUCAGAAAGAUCCAAGCUUGGGGCCAUUUCACCCAAUUUUGAGAUAAAAUGUCCCUAUCACAAGCUCUAGAUCUUCAACAACCCAAAACCCAAAUUUGAGGGAACUCUCACUCCCAAGCAUCAAAAUUGGAUCUUUUCCAAAAAGGAACUCAGUGACCCAUUUGAGUGUACCACAUUUCUAAACCCAAUGCAGCUAAUGAAGAGGUUUUGGGAGAUCACCAUGGUGGAGUAGUGCUAGGGUUUUAUGUCUCCCCUCACUGCUUCUCCAGAGUUCCACUCAGGACAACAUUGUGAGGGAAGGUAUCUGCAGUUGUAAAGCUCCACAUCAUGUGGGAAUUUAUUCAAAUGGGUUGUGGGCAAGCAAAUCCACCACACUUUUCCACCAACUUUUCUUUGUUUUUUCUUUUUUUCUUUUUUCAAGAUCUUACCAUGGACUCAGUGUGAAUCCUUCACUCCCCAUUCCCUUCGGUUUCUUUCCUAAAGCAACAAAAUUGUUGAUGGAUAGAACAAAAAUUGCUGAAAAUAUAGCACAAAAUGAGCUCAAAAAUGAGGAGCAAAAUAUAUGAAACUAGAGUUAAAAAUAAGGGGAAAAAAAAAAGGAGGGAACUUUACAGGGAAAAUGCAGAAUCAAAGAUGAGAGCUUUUCAGUGUUCCAGAUCCAAGUAAGAAACUGGAAGAUGACACUGCACUCUUCAAGCUCUGAGCAUCUCUCCCAUCCACAUAUAAAUAAAUGUACACAGUAGAUAGAGAGAGAGAGAGAGAGAGAGAGAGAGAGAGAUAAAUAUUAGAGGUAGUUUCAUCUUAUUAAGAUAAAGUUAUUACUAAUCAGUAAAUAGUAAUUAACUGCUGCUACUUAGUCAGAAACUCAAAAACAAGGUUGAGUGAUGAGGAUUUUGGAGGCUUUCAGCAGCAGCAAGAAAAGGAUCAGAUGGGCACAAGCCUGACAGUCAGCACAUCUCUUUUUUAACUCUUUUUUGCUGCUGUCUUUUGAGUCAAGUAUUCCUUUCUCCCCAUCAUCAAGUCUUCAUACUGUGUCAAAAAAAAAAAAAAAAAAAAAAAAAAAAAGGGUGAAAAUUUUCACCUCAUAUAGAAUUUUUUAGCCCGUAAAUCUCAUUUCGUAUUUCAAUCUCCACCGUUUAAUUAGUAAGUUACAGUUUUUUUCUCCACACAAAAUUUCGAUAUUUGAUUAAAAAUACAAAAUUAUUGAUACAUCAAUAAUUCACUUUGCAUGGUUGUACGAACGGAAUGACUACUGACAAUAAUUUUAUCUCUAACGUUACGUGAUAGCAAAUGUUAAAGUGAUGCAUUUUUUAAAAAUUUGUGGUGCCGAACUUCAACGUUUAUGGGUGGAAGUGAAACAUUAAACAACAAGUACAAGAGUGCAAUUUACCUUAUUUGAAAGAGUAAAACUUAAAAUAAAGUUAUGUUGAUUCUAUUACUAGUAACAUAGUUUAUUAACUAUAUAUGGGUCUAGAUGUAAAAUGUAAAAUACACCAAUGUAGCAGAGUUAAUGUAAAAUAUUAACAAUUAAUCAAUUAAAAUCAGUACAAAAAACAAAAAAAAAAAAAGAGCUGUUCACAACUAGAUCUUAAACAUCGGUCGUUAAGCUGUCAUUAGAUUAAAUUAGUCAAUAAAUCCAUUGUCAAACAGGAAAAUUGGAUACGUAAUCUACUGAUUUUGACCCUUCAACCAAAGGAUUUUUUAUUUACUAAUUCCAAGCCCUUUUUCUUUUUUCACUAACUCCUAAAGCACAUGAUCAUUUUCUCUCCAAUUAUUUUUUUUUU
This 8158-nucleotide long non-coding RNA is filed under the name Ananas comosus (pineapple). RNAcentral describes it as "long non-coding RNA (ACOM_LNC028530)". Lineage: Eukaryota; Viridiplantae; Streptophyta; Magnoliopsida; Poales; Bromeliaceae. The record is from RNAcentral.